RNAcentral lists this ribosomal RNA (500 nucleotides) under uncultured Campylobacterota bacterium. Its description in RNAcentral is "bacterial SSU rRNA". It matches the Rfam family "Bacterial small subunit ribosomal RNA", at positions 79 to 600 of the family's 1533-position model. Lineage: Bacteria; Pseudomonadati; Campylobacterota. The record is from RNAcentral.
CUUGCUAGGUGGAUUAGUGGCGCACGGGUGAGUAAUAUAUAGAUAACGUGCCUCUUAGUCUGGGAUAGCCAUUGGAAACGAUGAUUAAUACUAGAUAUUCCUUCUAACAAUAAUGUUAGUCGGGAAAGUUUUUCGCUAAGAGAUCGGUCUAUAUCCCAUCAGCUAGUUGGUAGUGUAAGAGACUACCAAGGCAAUGACGGGUAGCGGGUUUGAGAGGAUGAUCCGCCACACUGGUACUGAGACACGGACCAGACUCCUACGGGAGGCAGCAGUGAGGAAUAUCGCACAAUGGAGGAAACUCUGAUGCAGCAACGCCGCGUGGAGGAUGACGCAUUUCGGUGUGUAAACUCCUUUUAUAUGUCAAGAAAAUGACGGUAGCAUAUGAAUAAGCACCGGCUAACUCCGUGCCAGCAGCCGCGGUAAUACGGAGGGUGCAAGCGUUAUUCGGAAUCACUGGGCGUAAAGGACGCGUAGGCGGGAUGCCAAGUCUGAUGUGAAAU